RNAcentral lists this long non-coding RNA (3421 nucleotides) under Homo sapiens (human). RNAcentral describes it as "ZNF133 antisense RNA 1, transcript variant 2 (ZNF133-AS1)". The record is from RNAcentral. Lineage: Eukaryota; Metazoa; Chordata; Mammalia; Primates; Hominidae.
AGUGUGAAACUGACUUCUCCUGGGGAUGGUAGGGCUUCCUCUGUGGUCCAGUAAUGGUGACGUCCCUAACUGGCAGCCUGGGCCCCAGCGUCAGGAGUUGGGCUCAUGGUGACACAAAGGCUCCUUGGAUGCAAGAGCACAAACACCUCAGUGUGAAGGUUUCCUCUGGAGAAGGAGCAUUUCACUAUCCAACAAAAUGUUUAUUCCAGGAUUUUGGUUGAUUUCAUUAAUCAGAAAAUGCAUUUUAGAAGAAAAUGAGUCUCUGAUCUCAGGAUUUGUCUGAUCUCUCACGAUUGGGAUGGCCCAUUCCUAGAGGGGGAGAAGACCUGGAAAACACUGCUAGACCAACUCAAAAUUACAAAGUUUUCCAGAGCUUAUAUGUCUUCUAAGCCAUAUGUCUAUGUCUGCAGGAAUGUAGACAAUUCAGAGGCUUUGUUCCCCAUAAUUUGGAACUUUUCUUCAGAUUUGACCAAGUCGGGUAGAGAUGAUCAAACCUAAUGGGAAAAAGACUGAAACAACAAAAACAGAAACAGGCAAACACAACCAGAGAGAGUAUAAGGAAUCCGAAGGUUGCCCUGCACACGGCUCAGGGUCGGGCUGCACUGGCAGUCUGUGGUGGACAGACGUGGUCUUCCUGUGUCUGCUGAGGCGUAGGGCUUCUCCCCAGAGUGCGUCCUCUGGUGGGAGAUGAGGUUUGACCUGUCGCUGAAGCCCAGGCCACAGUCACUGCACACGAUGGUCUUCUCCUCCAAGUGUGUCCUCUGGUGUCUCACGACAGCUGACUUCUGGCUGAAGCCUUUGCCACAUUCCCGGCACACUAGCUCUGGUGGCCUUUACCUCAGGCUUUGAUGACAGACAGAGGAACCAACAAUCUAACCUGAUGCCUGCCUCUCCCCACGCCAGUGCUGAGGAGCUCCUGCAGAGAAAGCCUGCUCUUCCAGCCCUUGUAUUCAGGACAGGUGCCGGGUGGUCCCUCAAGACCCUUUUUCAGCAGUAAAUCCUACCUGCUUUCACUGAGUUCUCACUAAGUUUAUUUGGUUUAAUCUAGGUUGUCUGAGGUUCCACAACUCAUAACUGAUUUUGUGUUCUAUUUCUGGCCAGCAACUUCCUUGACAUUAUGGAAACUUGAGUUGGGUGGAGUUGUCAGAUUUGAUUUAUUGGCUAUUUUGUUUCUCUUGAAUACGACAGGAGAAGGGAAGCAACAGCUCAUAUCUCCUUGGCUUACCUUCAUACAUAUUAGGGCAUAGUCAUGGGUAAGUAGGUCUUUCAGCAGUAAAAGGAACUCCUGUGUCUGUCCUGAGUUAAGCACAGUGACUAUAAUUUUGACACAGGUAAUACCUCCCACCCACCCUUAUAAGAACCAAGGCUUCUGAUAUGUAGGCUUAUUACAGCCCUAGCUGCUGUGCCUAUGUGUAAAGUGGCAGGCUUUUAUUUACACUAAAUGUAUUUCAGAAUUAUAGAAGCGCCUUCAGAGAAAUCUUAAUUCAACAUGGUUUUAACAUUUGUAUGGAGUGACAGAAGAAAAACAAAACUUUAAUUCUCCAUUAGUCAGUUUUUUCAGUUGGUCACCAAAUUUGGCAUUCUGUGUAUACACUAGGAAUAUUUAGUCUUAGAAGAAAUUUUAACACAAAAUAUUACCAGGUUAAUGAAUUUAUUUAUAAAAUAUUUUAAAUCUAAGGUGCUCCUGCACUGAUAGGUUUAUAGAGACUAAUGGGCACUGACACAAAUUUAAAAUUUAAAAACUCGAGAAUAACUAAAUUAAAAAAAAAAAAUCAGGCCAGGUGUAGCGGCUCACGCCUGUACCAGCACUUUGGGAGGCUGAGUCGAGUGGAUCACUUGAGGUCAGGAAUUUGAGACCAGCCUGGCCAACAUGGUGAAACCCUGUCUCUUCUAAAAAUAUAAAAAUUAGCUGGUUGUGGUGGUGUGCACCUAUAAUUUCAGCUACCCAGGACGCUGAGGCAGGUGCUUGAACCUGCGUGGCGGAGGUUGCAGUGAGCCGAGAUUGCGCCACUGCAUUCCUGCCUGGGCAACAGAGCAAGAUUCUGUCUCAAAAAAAUAAAAAAUAAAUAAAAUUGAAAAUUGAACUCCUAAUGAUUCAAAUAUGCCAGUUUCUGAAGGAAAUCUUUCUUGCUGCAGCUGAAGCUCUGGCUCUGAAGAAAAAAGUUUAGCUGUGAAUUAAGCCAGGCACCUUGCUUAUUAGGUUGCACGAUAAGAAAGAAAUGUGAGGCACUCAGAGCUUAUUUACUACAAUAUGUAAACAACCUUACUAGCUGGUAUGUAACUAAAGGGUGGAAUCAAUAUUUCAAAGUAAGAUAAAGCCUGCAAAUAAGACAAAUGCAAUGUCUUUUCCCUUAUUUUAUCAGUGUAAACAUAACAUUAGCAUAAUAUUCUAGUGAUAUAAAACUUGGUUCUGAUAUGUAGGCUUUCUCAAAGAAAGUUUAACUAAUCUAAACUUCCAAGACUAAUAUAUAGGUUCAGCAUCCCUAAUCUGCAAAGUUCCAAAAUCUGAAAAUCUUUAAGCACCAACAUGCAGCCACAAGUAGAAAAUUCCACAGCUGAUCUCAUGUGACAGGUCAUAGUCAAAACACAGGCACAUAAAAUUCAGUUUAUUCAGCAUCCUCAAAGGAAAAAUAUAAUUACCUUCAGGCCAAGUGUACAAGGUGUACACAAAACAUAAAUGAAAUUCCUGUUUAGACUAGGGUCCUAUACCCAAGAUAUCUCAUUAUGUUUAUGGUAAUAUUCCAAAAUGCAAACCAACCAACCAACCAACCAAACAAACCCAAAAUCUGAAACACUUAUGGUCCUAAGCAUUUUGGAUAAGGGAGAGUCAACCUAUACUGAUUUUAAAAAUCAGAUAGGCUAAUAUUGCCUUCAUAAAUAUGUAAGAUUAGGCACAUGUAGAUAUAUGUGUCCAACUAGUAUCUUAUAAUUUACAGACAGUGCCAGAAAUUACGUGAAUCUACAAUUACUUUACUCAAAGUAAAUACCAGAAAUGGCAUAUUUUUCAGGCAGUUUUUAACUUAAGACUGAUUAAGUUGUUUUUCAAUUUCUAAGAUCUCUGUUAGGAAAUCAUUAUAAGAAUAAAUAUUUUUGUUAAAAAAUUCAAAAACAAAACUAUACAAAGUGUUCUCAUGCAAUAAUUUUACUUGUAUUUUUGCCUAAACUAAUGAGAUCAGCCUUAUGUUAAUUAUUUGAGACUGAAACUUAAAACUUUAAAUACCGUCCAUCAACACUAUAUAUGCUUAAAAACAUGUACAAUUAUUUAGCUUGCCAAUAAACAGAAAAAAGCUUAAACUUGACAAUAAUACUGGUAACUAAAAAAGAAUUAUAACUUGGUGUAUUUCUGUCCUCCAUAUGAAAAAUAACUAAUUUUUGUCUUUUGUAUACUCAACUUAGAAAUAAAAGCUCUAUUUUUACCUCA